Ruditapes philippinarum (Manila clam) is the source of this 381-nucleotide long non-coding RNA. RefSeq lists it as uncharacterized. NCBI's taxonomy places the organism in Eukaryota, Metazoa, Mollusca, Bivalvia, Venerida, Veneridae. The record is from RefSeq and is a predicted model, not a curated record. The transcript is spliced from 4 exons.
UGUGUUAUUCGUCUUGAUCUAAAUAAAAUCAUCAUCAAAGCUCAAGUAGUUGUGAACAAAAGUACUCUGAUUGUUGUCAUACGUACCACGAAAAUGGCUCGACUUCUCUGUUUAGUUGUUCUGUUGACCUUGACAAUUAUCCAAACUACGGACGCAAUCGCAAAGGACUGCCAAGACAAAGAAUAUUUAGACCGAUGUGGCCCUAAUGAUGAAGGCAUAUGCACGUGUCCGAACCUAAAUGUGAACACGUUUCUAAAUUCUGGAAAAACUCCAUGCAACAAUCUUGUCUGCAGAAAACCGUGAUGAUCAAAGUGGAUACAGCCAACUUAUUUGAUAUUUCUGAUGAACUGACCUAGCUAAUAAAAUAGCAUACAAGCAUUA